This is a long non-coding RNA of Hylaeus anthracinus, 1048 nucleotides long. RefSeq lists it as uncharacterized. The transcript has 3 exons. Lineage: Eukaryota; Metazoa; Arthropoda; Insecta; Hymenoptera; Colletidae. The record is from RefSeq and is a predicted model, not a curated record.
ACUGCAUUCACCGCAUCCAAUCUCGUCGGUGUGAUCGGCACAGUCCAAGUGACCGUCGCAUCGCCAGUCGACCGGAAUGCAUCUGGUGCCGUCGCAUUGAAAGCCGCUGGUGCAUACUGCGCAAUGCAUUCGCAAAAGAACAGCAUCGAGGAGUACUGUUGGGGCCGCAGUGAAACGCGACAGAUUUCGAGUCCCUCUUUGUGCUGCUUCUAUUCCAUAACAUAAUUAAGAAUGAUUGGAUUUUCCAAUUAAUUCUGUCCCCUUCGCGAUUGAGAUAAAGUGAACAAUUACAGUUCAAUCUAAUAACAAACAAUAACGCUAAUCGAAUCAACCAACGUUUGAUCCCUCCCGAUUUCACUGUUGCCCUAUCUACCCAAGUUCGACCUCAACCCGAUCAACCGAGAGAACGGUGACCAAAAGACAAGGACAAUUAAGAAAUCGGUAUUAGAUCUCCCCAAAGUGGUCCAGGAAAUCAAGUCACGACUCGAGGCAGUUGACAAUGGUGAACAUUCCGUUUCGAGAAACGAACAAAUGAACGGAACAAAAGAGUCGUAAACGCCAAUGGGAGGGCAAACAAUGGAUAUCGGUUUAGAAGGGACGAAUAAGAAGCUUUAAAAGGGAUACAGUCUACCGGAGUAGUAUAUUACAUCGCUUGAAUGCUAUUGAAAAGAUGUCAAACUUGGAAGUUUCAGAACUUUAUUCAAAUUAAUCAAAAGCUCUCGCGAGGGAAACGAAAUUAAAGUUCGAAUUUCCUACUUGUUGACUCCUUUGAUUCGUUUCGUUUAAGCUGCUGCCCAGGAGGUAGCAUCUCCUUUGAAGAGAGGCUUAGCAGAUCAUAUCAAUUUCUCGAUGUUCAAGUGCCGAGGCGGUAUAAACAAUAAUUUCUCCAAUUUCAUUUUUCCAUAAGGUUCAAUAAUUUUCAAGUGAUUCAAAAAGUUGUAUCGGUACUGUAUACCAUUCGUAAGAUUUGAAAGUUACUUUUGACGACUAUUUUACAACAUAUCGAAAAUAUCAGAUCUAAAAGACCGAAUCGAGGCUAUCUUUGCAU